Molecule: ribosomal RNA, 253 nt
Filed under: uncultured bacterium
Lineage: Bacteria
Description: partial 16S ribosomal RNA
Rfam family: Bacterial small subunit ribosomal RNA
Source: RNAcentral
UACGUAGGGGGCAAGCGUUAUCCGGAUUUACUGGGUGUAAAGGGAGCGUAGACGGCUUGAUAAGUCUGAAGUGAAAGGCCAAGGCUUAACCAUGGAACUGCUUUGGAAACUAUGAGGCUAGAGUGCUGGAGAGGUAAGCGGAAUUCCUAGUGUAGCGGUGAAAUGCGUAGAUAUUAGGAGGAACACCAGUGGCGAAGGCGGCUUACUGGACAGAAACUGACGUUGAGGCUCGAAAGCGUGGGGAGCAAACAGG